AGAACGAACGCUGGCGGCAGGCCUAACACAUGCAAGUCGAACGCUCGUAGCAAUACGAGAGUGGCAGACGGGUGAGUAACGCGUGGGAACGUACCCUUCGGUUCGGAAUAACCCGGGGAAACUCGGGCUAAUACCAGAUACGUCCGCAAGGAGAAAGAUUUAUCGCCGAAGGAUCGGCCCGCGUCGGAUUAGCUAGUUGGUGAGGUAACGGCUCACCAAGGCGACGAUCCGUAGCUGGUCUGAGAGGAUGAUCAGCCACACUGGGACUGAGACACGGCCCAGACUCCUACGGGAGGCAGCAGUGGGGAAUAUUGGACAAUGGGACGAAGCCUGAUCCAGCCAUGCCGCGUGAGUGAAGAAGGCCGUUAAGGGUGUAAAGCUCGUUUCAGGUCGGGAAGAUAAUAGACGGUACCG
This 414-nucleotide ribosomal RNA is filed under the name uncultured soil bacterium. Its description in RNAcentral is "bacterial SSU rRNA". It matches the Rfam family "Bacterial small subunit ribosomal RNA", at positions 26 to 480 of the family's 1533-position model. The record is from RNAcentral.